CGCCUUGCCCUCUCACAAUCCUCACGUUCAGGAUUCAACUCUGCGUCUCUGCCUCUGCGACUUUGCAUCGCGAACUCGCGGUUCCAAGUCUUUCUCGCGUGGUCGUCGGCCGCAUCUGCGAAUGGCGUCACCGACUCACCGCCCUCCCAAGUCCCAGCCUCACCGCCCUCUGGCUCCUCCCAAGUCCUAGUCUUUUCUGCUGCUGCGAAGUGCGAACUCUGCUGUUGCGAAGUGCGAACUCUGCUGCUCCCAAGUCCCAGUCCGGCCUUUGCUGCUCACCGGCCUCACCGUUCCACACUUCCACGUCUCUGGUUCUCUGCUAGUUAUUACUGAAGAGUUACUACUUGAGCGCUAGCCUUGAGAAAUGGGAAUUGAAGAUCAUUUGUUUUGUUAUGCAUUUGUAUUUGGACUUGUUUUGUUAUGUAUUUGGAUUUUGGACUUUUGAAGAAGUUUGAAACAGUUAUAAGUGUUUGAAGUUUGAACAUUUUAUGAUUAUGUUCUUUUGUUUGAAA
Molecule: long non-coding RNA, 512 nt
Organism: Ipomoea triloba (trilobed morning glory)
Lineage: Eukaryota; Viridiplantae; Streptophyta; Magnoliopsida; Solanales; Convolvulaceae
Exons: 2
Source: RefSeq, a predicted model, not a curated record